RNAcentral lists this long non-coding RNA (281 nucleotides) under Elaeis guineensis (African oil palm). RNAcentral's name for it is "long non-coding RNA (EGUI_LNC071195)". The record is from RNAcentral. Lineage: Eukaryota; Viridiplantae; Streptophyta; Magnoliopsida; Arecales; Arecaceae.
UAUUAAUCAAUUCUUCUCUUAUAUGAUGUAGCCUAAGGUGCCACAUAUACUUCAUGUUUAUCUCAAUUCUGGAUCUUUCAGAUCCAAUGGCAUUCACUGCUUGCUCAAGUAAGUUCACAGAUGUAUCACCAUGCAAAUGAUAGAGACUGUCUCUAAGAACUAAAUCCAAAUGAUAGUCGCAAAGGAUAGGUGCCCACAGCAACAGUAGCAAUUUUUACUCUAUUGCCGACUUUAAGGAUUACUUCACCUUCUCUCAGUCUUCUAUUUUUCCUUAGACCCUA